This 73-nucleotide transfer RNA is filed under the name Candidatus Hinthialibacter antarcticus. RNAcentral describes it as "tRNA-Arg". It matches the Rfam family "tRNA". Rfam says of the family: Transfer RNA (tRNA) molecules are approximately 80 nucleotides in length. Lineage: Bacteria; Candidatus Hinthialibacterota; Candidatus Hinthialibacteria; Candidatus Hinthialibacterales; Candidatus Hinthialibacteraceae. The record is from RNAcentral.
GCGCCUGUAGCUCAGCGGAUAGAGCACAUGAUUCCGGUUCAUGGUGCCGGGGGUUCAAAUCCCUCCAGGCGCG